GACGAACGCUGGCGGCGUGCUUAACACAUGCAAGUCGAACGGAAAGGCCCAGCUUGCUGGGUACUCGAGUGGCGAACGGGUGAGUAACACGUGGGUGAUCUGCCCUGCACUCUGGGAUAAGCCUGGGAAACUGGGGCUAAUACCGGAUAUGACCAACUGUCGCACGGGGGUUGGUGGAAAGCUUUUGCGGUGUGGGGUGGGCCCGCGGCCUAUCAGCUUUUUGGGGGGGUAAUGGCCUACAAAGGCGACGACGGGGAGCCGACCUGGGAGGGGGAUCGGCCACACGGGGACUGGGUCACGGCCCGGACCCCAACGGGAGGCAGCGGUGGGAAUUAUGGCACAAUGGGCGCAGGCCGGAUGCAGCGACGCCGCGUGGGGAAGGACGGCCUUCGGGUUUUAACCCUCUUUCACCAGGGACGAGGCGUGGGUGACGGUACCGGUAGAAGAGGCACCGCCAACCUACGG
RNAcentral lists this ribosomal RNA (465 nucleotides) under uncultured bacterium. Its description in RNAcentral is "partial 16S ribosomal RNA". It matches the Rfam family "Bacterial small subunit ribosomal RNA", at positions 28 to 506 of the family's 1533-position model. The record is from RNAcentral.